AACAACUAUAUACCCAGCUUUAACAAAAAUAAUCCCUCCAGAACAUUGGAGCAUGAAAAGUUAUCACCAAAAGCUAUCAAGGCUUAAAAUUGGAUUUUACCAACAACAGUAUUUAACAGCACUUUCAACCUCUGGAUCAUAUUAUGGACCAUUUCGAGCGGAGGCAGGGCAUUAAUCACCGAUUGAAGCUGGGCACGAACCAAGACAUGAAGAACGACCAGACUGUUGAUCUGUCCGCAUAUGGGUGGAGAGUUGGUGUCGUGCAAGUGUGAGGCUGAAGUAUGUGAGGACUUAGUGAUGGCGCUUUAUCGCUGAGUGGGUCAGUGGUGGAAGAGUAUAGCGUUUUGUCUUCGGGGGAGGGAUGAAAUGCUAAGAGCAAGGACAACAAGGGCGAUGCCGAUUCUUCUUAUGGAGCAGGGACUUGAAACAGGGGCGUGGGUUUGCUAUGUGGCGUGUUGGACUACAGGGGAAGAUUGGGGAAAGCUUUGGUGAGGUGAGGUAGGUGCGAGCUGCUGCCUUGAAGAGAUAGGUUUCGAGUGGAGAAGGUAAGUUCUGUCUUCUGCCUUGGGUUGUCUGGAGCAUGUAAAGCGGCACUGAUGAAGGAAAUAGAUGGGUGUGAAAAUUGGGUCUCUGAAGGAAC
Molecule: unclassified non-coding RNA, 640 nt
Filed under: Hevea brasiliensis (rubber tree)
Lineage: Eukaryota; Viridiplantae; Streptophyta; Magnoliopsida; Malpighiales; Euphorbiaceae
Source: RNAcentral